Molecule: microRNA precursor, 193 nt
Filed under: Oryza brachyantha (malo sina)
Lineage: Eukaryota; Viridiplantae; Streptophyta; Magnoliopsida; Poales; Poaceae
Description: MIR812 microRNA precursor family
Rfam family: MIR812 microRNA precursor family
Source: Rfam by way of RNAcentral
AAUAAGAACAUUUUUCAGUUUUUUAUAUAAUGUUUUGACUCUUCGUUUUAUUUGAAAAUUUUUUUGCGAUUAAUAUUUUUAUUCUUACUAGAUGAUAAAAUAUGAAUAGUAGUUUAUGCGUGACUAAUUUUUUUAAGUGUUUUAACAAAAAUUUUAAAUAAAAUAAAUAGUCAAACGUUGUACACGGAAAAAC